UCCUGCUUGCAACGGUAAGAGAAUACGU
Molecule: small RNA, 28 nt
Filed under: Bombyx mori (domestic silkworm)
Lineage: Eukaryota; Metazoa; Arthropoda; Insecta; Lepidoptera; Bombycidae
Description: ovarian small RNA-27934
Source: RNAcentral